AAUGUUAAAAAUUUAUUCCUUGACUUUUUUCAAAAAAGUAAAUUCGAAGUUUAAACUAAAUCUAUUUCUAUGUGUGUACAAAAUGUCGAAUUAUUUUCAAAGUUCUGCAUAAAAUAUAAUGUACGCUAUAAUUUGCAACAUAAUUUGUAAAAAUAUCAGUUUCCGUUUUAAAGUUACAGCGAAAUUUCUGAAACAAGCUAUAAUUUUAUGAAUAACCCCGGGAGCUUCGCUACCUAACCAAAAAUAAAUACAUACAUUUUUACUACUUUUAUAGAAAUUUUUAAUUGAAUAAACGUUUUAUUAAUGUUUCUGUUCUUAUAUAUAAUAUUAUAUAUAAGAAAUUUAUCAUUAUAGAGAAUCAAAAAGGUAUCAUUUGAAGAAUGGAACAGAAGCAAAGAGUCCCCACUUACAGAUUAUUAUUCAGUCAGGACCAUGUACAUAUGUUCAAAUUUAUGUUUCUAGGUAGAAUAUUUUAGAAAAUUCAAAAAAGUACCAUUUGAGAGAUAAAAAGUUCUCUCAUAAAGAAUCAUAUUCAAAAAGGACCGAGUAUGUUUAAUAAUCAUGUGUUUUAAACUCAUACCAUAGAACAUACAAAUAGUAUCAUUUGAAGAAAGAAAAAGUACCAAAAGUGGAAUAAAUUCUACCUUUAUGGAAAGUACUAAUAAAAAGAGUAUUUUCCCCUUUUAGUCUAGGAAUAUACUUUUUCGAGAAUUAAGUUUACAAAAUAUUCCGUCUUUAAAUCUAUAAUCGAUUCAAAUAUGCAUUCAUUUGUUCCAGAUAUAAUCGAUUCAAAUAUGCAUUCAUUUGUUCCAGAAAAAUUGUGCUUUCAAAAAGUACCAAACAAAAUACCCGAAUCUGGUCCCAAAUUCCAAAAUAAUGUACCAAUAGCUUAUUUUGUGUGAGUAAAUAAACUAUUUUUGAAAAUUUUAUAAAAAUUGGUUCAAUUAGUUUAAAUAAAUUAAAUUUCCAGUUUUUUCCCCUUUUUGGUACUUUUUCCCCAAUGAAAUAGCAAAUAUUUUGUUUCAAUACAUAUUACGGAGUUAGUACGUAAUUUAAUAGGUAUACGCCAAUAAGUCGAAAUAGUUUUCUUAGGCCCAUUAUUAUAACUUGCCAAUAACUAAAGUUAGGAAGUUAUCGUACAGAUAAUGUGUUUUUCGUUAUUACAAGACAACUUUAGCUAAAAGUGUCCGAUAGGCUAACGGGAAGAUCACCUUACCUUUAUCUUUUAACGUAAGCUUUAGGAUUUUUUUUUUUAAAUAUGAAUGAAAAAUAAAUUCAAUGUUAUUUUUCAUAUGAAAAAUAUUAUUAACGGCUAAAAGUAUAACAAAAAUUAUGUUGUAGUAAUGAAAAUAUUUAAAGUUCACAUUAUUCCUCACUUUAUUUAAAGUUACCUUUUAUUAUUACGAACAUUAAAGGCAAGUUGUAAUAAUGGCCCUUAAUAAUAAUUGUUGUAAUAAUGGCCCUUAAUAUAAAAUUAAUAUAAAUAAUAUAAUAAUUUUGGAAGAUAUGUAUAUCCAAAAUAUUUAAAUUUUUUUUUCGUUUAUUAGAUACAAAUUUACAAAGGACCAAAAAAGAUACCAAAAACACUUUUGUUACACAUUUUCACCCGUUAAAAGUACGAAUUUUCAGAAAGUACCAGACACCCAAGAGUAGAUACAGGUGUAUUUAAAAUGUUCUUGUAUCACUAAGACCUGGUUUACACUGGAAAACUUUUGUUGAGAAACUUUUGAUUUAGUGUGUGAGAGAAAGAGAUGGUUAAUAUUUCUUUUUCUUUCUCUCACACACAAAAAUCAAAAGUUUCCCAGUGUGAGCCAUUGUAUAAGAAAAUUAAGAAAAUCAUUUUUACCCGUUUUUUCUCUUUUUUACCCCUAAAUGUACAAUUUUCCAGUCGUUUGGGCUGUGCGAUGAUGAAUCAGUCAGUAACGCUAAAAAUAUGCAUUUUCGAUGAUUCGUCCCAAAAAAUUUAAUAUACAUACACAUUAAAAUUAAGGCUACCCUGAAUUAAUCGCCAUUUUAGGUGCCAUCAAACCCACUCUGCGACGCUUAAACGCCAUAAAAACUUACAAAUUAUAGUAUUUUGAUAUAUAACAAUAUAUGUAUGUCUGUCCAAAAGUUUAAGGAUCUGGACAAAAAAAGUAAAAAAAAUAACAAAGCUAACGAUUUUUUUAAGUUUUUAAUUACGAAAUUUUAAAUUUUCUACACUGAAAAUAAUCCAUGCUCAACUUUACGAAAAAAAUUUCGUAACUUCUAUUUUCGUAAUAUUUAAAAAAAUUUCGUGUAUAAUACGAAAUAUUAUUUAAUAAAACCCUUUUCUAUUUUUACGAAAGUACGAAAACCUUUCGUAAUAUUUUUUUCUUAAAUUUUAGCGAAAUUAAACAUAAUGAUAUUAACUAUAUUAUGAUUAAAUAAAACUACAACAUUUUUAUAAAAUUUAAGAAAAAGUAUAAUAUUAUUCACGAAUUAUUUUCAUAAAAAAAAUUAAAAAUUCGUGUGGAGAAUAAUUUUGAGCUAAAAUUAGAAAAAUUAUUUUAAAAUGAACAAAAAUGUUUGCAUAAAUUAAUAUUUCGUAAAUUUUACCAUAUUUAUUCAAAAUUCCCUUUUUUCGUAUAUAUUACGAACGAAUUUCGUGGUGCGAAACAACGAACGAUAUUCAAUUUUCUAAAAAUUUUAUUCGAGAUGUUAUUACCACUAAAGUUGUGAAUAAUAAAAUUUUCCAAAGAAUUAAUAAACUUUGAUAAUUGCCCAUAUAUGUAUGUAUUAUAUCCUCCACAGUUUUAAAUUUUAUUUAAACCUUUUAAAAUAAUCAUUAAUUUGUCAACAUUCCUUAUUUCCUUCAACACACUGUCACAUUAUAUAUCAACUUAAAAAAUUUGCACGAAAAACAUAUUUAAGUACAUCAAAGCUCAAUAGUGCACCAGUAAAAAUUAUCAUUUAUUUGUUUGUAUUUUCUUCUUUCUUUUUAGUUCGAUCUAUUUUUUUCUUUUUUUUUUCUUCUCUUCCCUAUAUGCUAUAAAUAUUUUUGUUUCUCAGCACCCAGUGCCUCUAAGACUGUGAAAAUUAAACUUGUUAUUAAAAAAAUAAAUAAACAAAUGAAACAUAAAUUUUAUGUUAAAAAAGGUGUUAACUUUUUGGGUCUUACUUCAAAGUUUAAAUCCGUUAAGCAUAUCGUUUCUAAUAUUUAAGCAAAAUAAAAAUUUAUUCAAAAUUGUUGCAAUAAUUAUUUGUUAUAAAACACUAAAGUAAAAAACAUUUUGAGUAUGUAGCCAUACAUAAAAACAUUAAUAAUUAAAACUAAUGUAGCAGUAGAUAAAUUAGUUGAACCAAAAAAAUAAGCUUAGUAAAUAUAAACUGUAGUCGCCUGCUUAGAAAAAUUAAAAUAAUAGACAAAAAAUAAUAAUUUAAAAAAUAAAAAAAACUAACAAAAACAUUGAAAAGAAAGCAAUCAUUUAAAAUUAGUUGGUUUAUAAAGAAAUUAAGAUAAUUAUUAACAAAAUUAUUUUAACAUACAUUAAAAAACCUGUAGUAUGGUUAAAUUUAAACCAAUAACCUAAAUUUAAAACUCAGCUGCAACAAUUUAUUACUUGUUAAUCAUAAAAUUAAAAAAAAAAAAACACAAAAAAAUCUAAAACUAUAGGAAUGCAAAAUAAUGAUUAAAAUGCAGAAAACUAUAACUAUUUUCCUAAUAUACAAAUACUUACAUUAAGUUCAUUUUUAAUAAUAUCUACGAAAAUGUUUAUUUAAAUUUAAAUAUUUCCUUUUUUAUUUCUAAAAUAAAAUAUUUUUUAAGAUCUACUGUAGUUCAGAUUUAUUUAGUAAAUAACAUUAUAAUAUGUUUGUAUGAAUGUGUACAUUAGAGGUGCCAACAAAUAUCGAUUUUCCUGCGAUGGGUCUUUUUCAUUAGUGUCUAAAACUAACGAACCUACUUAUGUGUGUCAAAUCAGAUAACAGGAACCCGCACCGGAAAUCUAAAUGUAAAAAUCUGUAAUUAAAACAUAAAUAUUUAAUUUUAAUUAUUUUAUUUUUUGAACGAAUUAGAGUCUGUUUGUGAUGGAGAUGAGAUCACUAAUUUUUGACGAUAUUUAAGUAAAAUUUUUCACAUUUUUAUACUAAAUCACUAUUUUACAUAAUUUAGAUGAAAAAUAUAUGUUUGUUUAGAGAAUCGGAUAAUUUCUUAAUAGGAAUUGUGUCAAGACUCUGAUAUGAUGUUUCCAUGAACUAGGAAACAUUUUACAGUAGUCAGAAUCGCACUUUAGGUCUUUCUUCACCUUUAUUAUGAUUAAAGUACCAUUUAUCGUUAAAAGCCUUUUUAUUAAAAAAUUUUGGGAAAUUUUCCGGGUGACCAUCCGUUCCAAAUAUGUAUGUAUAUUAGUUUUGUAGAAAAAAUUUUAUUUUUUAUGUUUCUUUGCAAAUUAAAAAUGGUAUAGAUUAAUAAAUUAAUAAUGGUAUUUAGGAAUAAGUUAACCAAUAAUUUUAAGAAAAUGGCUUUUAUUGUUAGGCGGUUCUUAUAUUAGGAUAAUGAUCCAAUUACACAAAGCUCACUAACUGUAAUUUUUGCUGCUGUUAAUCCAUUCAAACUUCAUGAAAACGUUAACUCUAAGUCCUGUCAUAAUUUCUCUUAACUAAAACCUGUGUUUUUCAUCAAAUCUCAGUCGAAUAGGGAUUUAAUUAGCAUAAAAAUGUAAACAAAGUUUACAUACUUAUUGUCAAAAUUAGCCAUUUCUAUCCCAAACAGUCUCUCGUUCUAAAAUAUAAAAUACUUAAAAUUAAAUAUUUAUUUUUUAAUUACAACAAGAAAAAUAAUAAAUUUGUACAACUGUCCGAGUUUGGCUUGGGCAUUUUUUCUGAAGUAGUAGAAUCUUUUUGAAAGGGUUAGAAUUGCGCUAGAUCAAAAAAGACCAAUUUUCGCAUACUAUAAUUAAAUAAAAUUCUUCUAUUCAUACCCUAAACCACUUUAGUGGGGACGGUAAAAAAUAUCUGUCAUACUCACCUACUAAUCGUCUUAGAAUCAUUUACCGAGCCCAUUAAUCAACCAAUGAAAAACUAUUAAAUCUGUCCAUAGUGCUAUUAAGCUCAUAAUUAUGUUAAAUAUACCUAUAUCACGGGGAAAAAA
This is a long non-coding RNA of Lucilia sericata (common green bottle fly), 5110 nucleotides long. RefSeq lists it as uncharacterized. The record is from RefSeq and is a predicted model, not a curated record. The transcript has 2 exons. Lineage: Eukaryota; Metazoa; Arthropoda; Insecta; Diptera; Calliphoridae.